Molecule: unclassified non-coding RNA, 760 nt
Filed under: Hevea brasiliensis (rubber tree)
Lineage: Eukaryota; Viridiplantae; Streptophyta; Magnoliopsida; Malpighiales; Euphorbiaceae
Source: RNAcentral
CUGCUAUUAAAAGCCCCAGCAGACGGUGGGGAUGAACGAGACAAAACUCCAAGUGAAUGGGUGCUUGAAACUUUAAUCCUUCUAUGCAAACCAACCUUCUUCAAGGCUGUUAGGACAUUAUGCAUGGCGGGUACAACUUGGGCAGAGGCAUUAUUGGGGCUCUCUGUGACUUCAGCUCCAACAGUUAUGUAUGUGAUCUUUGUGGCAGGAUAGUAAGGAAGAAUGCUGUUCUUCAACCAUGAAUCAGCAUUGGACUGAAAUUGGGACAAUGCCAAUAAGUCUGAAUUUGGAAUUCCAACCAUGAGUUCUACUCCAGUGUUUGCAAAGGCCUUUAGAACCUGAAUAUUUGAAUCAUAAAUCCUCAAAUAUUUAAUGUUAUGCUGUUGAACAAGCUGCGCGGCUUUAUCAGGUGUUGGAAUGUCAUCCGCAUUUCUUCCAUAGCAAACUCCUACUAUGCUUCCCCUGCAAAAUACCAGAAGUGUAAGCAACAGUGACAUAGCAAAGAUAAGCUUGAAUCCUCUAGCCAUUGCUGUGCAAAACAGAGCCUCCAACUCUCCAACGAUAAUGCCCAAAGUUCUGUUUCUACUUUACUCUUUUACCUAUGAGUGGUAAUGAAGUAAACCGUUCUUGGUCUAGGAAUCUAGAGAUUAACGUCUCUCCUAUCUCUCUACCCAAAAACGCUUCUCUCGGAGCUCGAGAGAGAGAGAGAGAGAGAGAGAGCCUUGCUUGUUGGCUUGGCUUUAGUGCACCGUGAGUGUGC